This is a long non-coding RNA of Drosophila gunungcola (fruit fly), 437 nucleotides long. RefSeq lists it as uncharacterized. The transcript is spliced from 3 exons. The record is from RefSeq and is a predicted model, not a curated record. NCBI's taxonomy places the organism in Eukaryota, Metazoa, Arthropoda, Insecta, Diptera, Drosophilidae.
GAAUACACAAAGUAUAUAAAGUGUUGGGGUGUUCAUAGAUACUUGUACCUAGGUACGUACCGAGGUACACUAUUUUCUUACCUUUUACCUUACCUAAUUCAUAGAUGGCGGCACUGAUCUUCGCGUAAACAAUCAAGUGCUUCUGGCUCUGGGGGAAUUCCGUAGAACCGGGGGCAGCCAGCGGCAGAGUGUGGCCCACCACAUCGCCCACGCCCACUCCGUGUCUCAGGGCACGCACACGAGCACAGAAACAUCUAGGGAUAGUGCUGAUCGCUAUAUAUGACGCCAUUAAAUUCGGACAAACAAUGGAAAUGCAUAAUAUACUAUAGAAGGUGAUUUAAACAAAUAACCGAAAUGUUUUCGUACAGGUUGUUAUAUAAAAUAUGCUAUCAAAUAAUUGACAAAGCUUCGACACUGGCGAUGAUAAAAAGUUUUCU